GAGGAUACCUUUUCUCUGUAAGACUUUUUCGAAGAGUCGAGUUGUUUGGGAAUGCAGCUCAAAGUGGGUGGUAAAUUCCAUCUAAAGCUAAAUAUUGGCGAGAGACCGAUAGCGAACAAGUACAGUGAUGGAAAGAUGAAAAGAACUUUGAAAAGAGAGUGAAAAAGUACGUGAAAUUGUUGAAAGGGAAGGGCAUUUGAUCAGACAUGGUGUUUUUUGCAUGCACUCGCCUCUCGUGGGCUUGGGCCUCUCAAAAAUUUCACUGGGCCAACAUCAAUUCUGGCAGCAGGAUAAAUCAUUAAGAAUGUAGCUACUUCGGUAGUGUUAUAGCUUUUUGGAAUACUGUUAGCCGGGAUUGAGGACUGCGCUUCGGCAAGGAUGUUGGCAUAAUGGUUAAAUGCCGCCC
Molecule: ribosomal RNA, 406 nt
Filed under: Hanseniaspora uvarum
Lineage: Eukaryota; Fungi; Ascomycota; Saccharomycetes; Saccharomycodales; Saccharomycodaceae
Description: partial large subunit ribosomal RNA
Rfam family: Eukaryotic large subunit ribosomal RNA
Source: RNAcentral